GGAGUUUGUGCUCGUCACCCUGAGCAAACUCUUCAGCACCUAUGCUCCGCAGUGCAUCCCCUUCGUGUGGCUGAUGCUGGCCGGCCUGCGCAGUGUGGUGGGCCAGGUGAGGAGUGGCCAGACCCUGCGCAUCGCUUGUGCUGUUGUGAAACAGUGGCUGGAUGGACUGAAGAUUCACUUGUCGUCUGGAAUGCAAU
Non-coding RNA from Meleagris gallopavo (turkey), 197 nucleotides. Lineage: Eukaryota; Metazoa; Chordata; Aves; Galliformes; Phasianidae. The record is from RefSeq and is a predicted model, not a curated record.